UACAGGGGGGGCAAGCGUUGUUCGGAAUUACUGGGCGUAAAGGGCCAGUAGGCGGCCUGCUAAGUCCGACGUGAAAUCCCCAAGCUUAACUUGGGAACUGCGUCGGAUACUGGUGGGCUUGAAUUCGGGAGAGGGAUGCAGAAUUCCAGGUGUAGCGGUGAAAUGCGUAGAUAUCUGGAGGAAUACCGGUGGCGAAGGCAGGUCUCUGGGCCGAUACUGACGCUGAGGAGCGAAAGCGUGGGGAGCGAACAGG
Molecule: ribosomal RNA, 253 nt
Filed under: uncultured bacterium
Lineage: Bacteria
Description: partial 16S ribosomal RNA
Rfam family: Bacterial small subunit ribosomal RNA
Source: RNAcentral